UCCACGCCCUAAACGAUGAGAGCUAAACGUCGGGUCUUAGGAUUCGGUGUUGGAGCUAACGCAUUAAGCUCUCCGCCUGGGGAGUACGGUCGCAAGAUUAAAACUCAAAGGAAUUGACGGGGGCCCGCACAAGUGGUGGAGCAUGUGGUUUAAUUCGAAGCAACGCGCAGAACCUUACCAACCCUUGACAUAGAUAUUGCAGAUGCCAGAGAUGGCGUCCUUCAGUUCGGCUG
RNAcentral lists this ribosomal RNA (233 nucleotides) under uncultured bacterium. Its description in RNAcentral is "partial 16S ribosomal RNA". It matches the Rfam family "Bacterial small subunit ribosomal RNA", at positions 794 to 1024 of the family's 1533-position model. The record is from RNAcentral.